RNAcentral lists this ribosomal RNA (665 nucleotides) under uncultured bacterium. Its description in RNAcentral is "bacterial SSU rRNA". It matches the Rfam family "Bacterial small subunit ribosomal RNA", at positions 28 to 674 of the family's 1533-position model. The record is from RNAcentral.
GAUGAACGCUGGCGGCGUGCCUAAUACAUGCAAGUCGAGCGAACAGACGAGGAGCUUGCUCCUCUGACGUUAGCGGCGGACGGGUGAGUAACACGUGGAUAACCUACCUAUAAGACUGGGAUAACUUCGGGAAACCGGAGCUAAUACCGGAUAAUAUAUUGAACCGCAUGGUUCAAUAGUGAAAGACGGUUUUGCUGUCACUUAUAGAUGGAUCCGCGCCGCAUUAGCUAGUUGGUAAGGUAACGGCUUACCAAGGCAACGAUGCGUAGCCGACCUGAGAGGGUGAUCGGCCACACUGGAACUGAGACACGGUCCAGACUCCUACGGGAGGCAGCAGUAGGGAAUCUUCCGCAAUGGGCGAAAGCCUGACGGAGCAACGCCGCGUGAGUGAUGAAGGUCUUCGGAUCGUAAAACUCUGUUAUUAGGGAAGAACAAAUGUGUAAGUAACUAUGCACGUCUUGACGGUACCUAAUCAGAAAGCCACGGCUAACUACGUGCCAGCAGCCGCGGUAAUACGUAGGUGGCAAGCGUUAUCCGGAAUUAUUGGGCGUAAAGCGCGCGUAGGCGGUUUUUUAAGUCUGAUGUGAAAGCCCACGGCUCAACCGUGGAGGGUCAUUGGAAACUGGAAAAACUUGAGUGCAGAAGAGGAAAGUGGAAUUCCAUGU